AUGUUACACAAGUGCAAGCAAGAUGGAAUCUCCCGCCAUUGGUGGGAAAAGGAAUGUAAAGUUACCAAAGAGAUAGACGAAGCAUAUCAGCAACGGGCCGGUAUCCUCGAGAAUGGCACACUGAGAAUUUUCCCUGCAAGAAUAAAGGAUUCUGGACUAUAUCAAGCAACCGUUCUGAUCUUUGGUGGAAAACACACAGCAAUUGUCAAUCUUACAGUAACUGAAGUUCCUCUUUCCUUCCACCCCUCCCAAUCCAAUGUAGUGGAUAUGCAGGAAAAAGACAACACCAAGAACAAAGGUUUUGGAGCCUUGAGAAGAAUGGCUACUGAGAAUAUGAUUCGAAUGGGCUUGGCCUGCCUCACUCUCUUCUUUCUUGGACUGCUGCUGGUGGAGGUAAGUGCUGUAUUGUGGAGAUUGGAAACACUACUGUUUUUGAUUACCAUACAUCUCCUAGAAUCCCAGAUGGAUUCUGUGCAUUGUCAUCCUAAAAAGUAAAAUAUCCCAACACUUGCUAUUUAAGAUGGCUGCUUUGACAUUGCUAAAAUAGAGUAUAAUGCAUCCCCUAAAAUUCCAUAAAAUCUGUAUGAUUUAUGUUUAUCACUGUACAUUCUCAAUUAAUUGCUGGGAGAAGAAGAAAGUAUUCUAUGGGAGGGAGUUCUGUAACUUGAAGAGCAGCCACUGAGAUUUUGUGCCUCAUAUAUUUAGCCAAAGGGUAGGUGAAAGCAGUGAGACUGAUAGAAAGCCUUCUCCCAAAGUCUGAGUUCAUAAUCAUAAUGACUAUAUAAUUUAUAAUUUAAAUAGAAGCACAAUACACCUUACUCUGGUGAGACAGACCAUGGCCAAGUGAAUACUUGCUCAGUCUACCUAUCCAUGUGUUGUCUGCCGUUGCUGAACAUCUCAAGAAGUCUUUCCUUCUUACGUUGUCUCUGCACUAGGCUUGGACCAGAAUCUUUCACAUGUAACUUCAAACACAGAACUCGUGGAACUUCAGACAGAGUGUUGUGUUUGUAUGUUAGAACCUACGGCUAACCUAGAUCUCUCAUUAAAAGAUGAUUAGGAAAACAGCUUUAAAUUAUUCCUUUUGUCAUUGUGAGUAUUUCUUUGUUAGGAUGAGCUGACCACAUUAUUUAUAUGCUCAAGGUCUGGGUCCAGUUCCUGGCCAAUCCAGGUGAGGAGAUGCUUUAUGUCAAACCUUGGAGGGCCAUCAUCAGUCCCUCAACUCUGGAAUUUCCUGCUCAAGGAAGCCAGAAUGGCCUACUCUCUUUUGUCGUUCUGGCAGCAGGCUAAGAACCUUUUUAUUAAGGCAGGCUUUUAAAGAAGAAGGUUUUAAAGAUUAAGUCAGGGAUGCUGUGCUUUUUAACAUUGAAUAUGUUUUAUGGAUUUUAACUGUGAUUUUAAAAAUACCAUUGAUAUUUAUUUUCUUUUAAUGUUUGUAUAUUUGUAGAUUUUAAAUUGUAUUGAAAUGUUUUUAAUGUAAGCCACUUUGAGUCUCUUUGUGGAGAGAAAAAGCGGGGUACAAAUAAACAUAAACAUAAUAAUAAAUGUCUGGCUUGGGAAAAGAGAGUUUUCAGUUCUCUGAGUUUCUAGGAAUUCAGCCCUUUCCCUGUUCCCUCCACUUACAGAACUGAACAAACGCUAGAAGAAGUUGUCAUGACUGAACAACAAGAUUUUCUGAUCUCUCAGCUUUUUAUUUGUUCAGCUUGGAGAAAAGAGACAGAUUAAAAUUACAGUGGUUGAGGAUCUAAGAUGAAUGUGGGUAGAUGUAUGAUAACCAUGCACCAUACAGGUUGUUGAUUGGAUAGGAAGAAGCAGAUAUACACAUCUACUGAACACCUUCACAUGGAAAGACACCUGUAUUGAAGAAGAACAAUUAAACAUUAGUAUUACAUUAACAUAAACCUCAACAAGGCUCUAUUGGACUUUAUCCCAUGUGGGAGAAGAGCAUCAUAUAACUGUGGUGUUUAGUGCUGAAGCAUUACAAUGCACAUAGUUCUGUUUGUCAUUCCUUAUCACAUGUUAUUCUUUCUUGUCAUUUCUCCCCAAAUCAUCCAAUUUCAGCUUUAUCACACAAAUGAGUGCAAUUCGCACCCACUCCAUUCAAAAAAGACUUGGGUAAAAACUUUCCUUUCCCUCCAAUACUGCUGCUCUGGAGGAGACCUGAGGCGCUGAUCCUACGGACACUUUUCUGGGGAUACUGGGCUUUCUCCUCCCCUUGAUCUUGCUGCUUUGGAGGAGAUCCGAGUCACUGAUCUGUACUCUGGAUAUAAUGAGCUCUCCUUACAAUUUCACUAAUCUCCAUUGCAGAAGUCAGAAACUUAAAAAGCUAACAGUCUCGUACAGACAGGAAAAACAAAGAUAUUAUGAAUUUUUUGUAUUUUCAAUUAUUACAUUUAUUCAAACAAAUAUCAUGGAAGACUCAUGAAGCAGGACUUGGGGAGAGAAAUGUCAAUGCUUAGUAGGGAACCACCCACAGGAAUGUCCCUUACUCCAUGACUAAAGCGAUUCAACCCAGGCAAAUUUGACAUCUCCCAUCCCACAUAUUUUUGGGUGUUUUUUCCAGAUAUAUCCUGUUUUCUGAGUCUAGAAGAUGAUCUCUUUUUGAGACUGUUUCAGAUGUUUUCCUAACAAAGCACAAUGGGUGCUGCAUUGUGUGACGAUCUCCGUCAUAAAUUGUACCCUCAAUGUUUAGAAACCUCCACAGAUGGACAUGAGCCAAAUGGUACUGAUUUUUUAUUCUUUUUGUAUCCUAGCAUGUUUGCAAUUUACCUGGUGGUAGCAGUAAUACAAGGAAAAAAGACUGUGGGAGACCCUGAGAGAUUUAUUGCUGUCUUGAGGUGAUAUGUCAGUUGAAGUCCAUCUCUUCCAUUGAUAGAAUGAGAAUAGUUGUGAGACACCAACUGAAAGUAAGGAAAACUCAUGAUGCAUUUGGAAAACUUAUCAUCAAAUCAUUUUGCAGGACUACUGUGUAAUUGACUACAGGUACACAAACAUAGGAUGUGAUCUAGGGAUUUCUUUGAAAUCUUAUGAAUGUGAAUACAGGCAGUCCCAAGUUAUGAAAAGAUAGAUUCUGAAGAUUUGUUCAUAAAUUGAAUUUGUAUGUAAGUUGGAACAGGUAGAUUUUUAAAUGUAACUCCAGCCAUAUAUACUUUGAAUAGCAUGGAGAAGGGUUAACAACCCUAUGACAUUUGUUUUGCUGUCUGUGUUCCAGUUCACAAUAUUUCACCUCACUUCCUGUCUGUGAUAAUUGGAUUCUGAACAUUUUGUCUUGUUGUAGAAACAAGCAAUGGUGAUAACGGUUCAGUGGAGACAGCUUUUCCCCACGAGAACUUCUUGAAUUGGGUUCCAUUGUAGAUGAAAAAACUGUUAGGUACAUGAAGGAAGAACUUCUGAAAUGGGUUCAAUGCUCCUAGAAAUGCAAGAAAAUAUCCCCAAACCAUGCUCCAUGCUUUCCUGAGAACUUUCCUUCAUUAAGCAUUUGCUUACAGUUCCAACAGAGCAAAACAUAGUAUGAGAUUUUGUAGAUGUACUUAAUUCUGUGCAGCUGGUGCUAUGCAAAGAGAAUGUGCAAUUUUGAGGUGAUGAUUGUGAUUUUCUUCUGUAAUUAUUGCAAUUGUUGUUAUUAAGCUCUGUUCUUUGUACCCAGGUCCCCACAGCAUUUUCUAUUCUAAAGGUCAUACUUGAGAGAAGCAAUAAUUACAAUUUAUCUAUUAUUUCUAAUCUUUCUGUUUUGUAUUUAAAACAG
Molecule: long non-coding RNA, 3742 nt
Filed under: Anolis carolinensis (green anole)
Lineage: Eukaryota; Metazoa; Chordata; Lepidosauria; Squamata; Anolidae
Description: lncRNA (ENSACAG00000036946.1)
Source: RNAcentral